Molecule: ribosomal RNA, 350 nt
Filed under: uncultured bacterium
Lineage: Bacteria
Description: bacterial SSU rRNA
Rfam family: Bacterial small subunit ribosomal RNA
Source: RNAcentral
UAAGGAAUAUUGGACAAUGGGGGCAACCCUGAUCCAGCCAUGCCGCGUGAGUGAAGAAGGCCUUCGGGUUGUAAAGCUCUUUCAGGUGCGAAGAUGAUGACGGUAACACCAGAAGAAGCUCCGGCUAACUCCGUGCCAGCAGCCGCGGUAAUACGGAGGGAGCGAGCGUUGUUCGGAAUCACUGGGCGUAAAGCGUACGUAGGCGGUCCUGCAAGUCAGGAGUGAAAGCCCAGGGCUUAACCUUGGAAUUGCUCUUGAAACUGCAAGACUAGAGUCCCGGAGAGGUUGGCGGAAUUCCGAGUGUAGAGGUGAAAUUCGCAGAUAUUCGGAGGAACACCAGUGGCGAAAGC